UUAUAGAAUUAGGAAUUAGGUUAAGUAUUUAUUCACAAACUUUUUGGCGUUCCAAUCAAAAUUUUCCGUUGCUGUAUUACCCACAAUAUCAUAUUAAACUAUUAAUAUGAAAAAUAUAAUUAAUUAAUUUAAUUUAAAAUGUUGACAAAUUAUAUUAAAAAUAAAAAUAAAUGAAAAAUGUCCGCCAGGUGAAAGCAUGUUCACCAUGAAAAGGAAAGACUCGGAAUUAUAAAACCUACAAUUCAAUUCUCUUGAUCAAUGGUUUUAUUGGAAAAUGCUUCUAUUUCCAAUGUUGAUCAAUUUUAUUUUAUCCUGAUUUUAUCUCUAAUGACGAAACAUAAUUUAUUAUGGUGUUGAAUUAUAAGCUUGGCAUUCAUGUCAACUAUAACUCAUAUACGUCAAAUCCAAACUGAAUACCUUCCCCAAGAUGUGACUCAAACUCGACUGUGACUACCCUUUAUUAAUAUGGUGAUGUAGGGUAACAGCGAGGUGUAUCAAUUAUGUUGGCGAUACCGAUCAUAUGUAUCGUAUUUACGAAUAGCAAUUACGCUUUUUAACUACAAGCUUGACAUGUCAGUCAAGUUUAACACAGAUGGAAUAAAUCCCUGUGGAAACGGGAUUACUUCAAAGUUUAAAACAUUCUUUUAAUGUUUAGAAAAAUUAAUAUCCUGUGAAUAAAACUCCCAGAUGUGACCAAGCUCGACUGUGACUACCCAAUAUGAAAAUUGAGUUGUAGGAUCGCAGCGAGGUUUAUCAAGUAUGAUGGCGAUACCGAGAAUCGUUUUUUCUUAAUGCUUGUUUAAUACUUGUCUUAUAUUCGAUAAUAUGGAUUUUCUUAAAUAAAAUACAGAUUACGGUACUAGAAAACGCUUGACUUCAAAAACAAAAUAAAUGGAAAGUUUUAGGUUUGUCUAAAUUGCAAUGGAUGUCUAAUUUGACAUCGAUUACGUUGAAGUGUUAUUCGUAUAUUUAUGUCAAAAUUUUUGUAAAUAAAUUAAUUGUCAACUUA
Teleopsis dalmanni is the source of this 1009-nucleotide long non-coding RNA. RefSeq lists it as uncharacterized. The transcript has 6 exons. The record is from RefSeq and is a predicted model, not a curated record. Lineage: Eukaryota; Metazoa; Arthropoda; Insecta; Diptera; Diopsidae.